GACGAACGCUGGCGGCGUGCUUAACACAUGCAAGUCGAACGGAAAGGCCCUGCUUUUGUGGGGUGCUCGAGUGGCGAACGGGUGAGUAACACGUGAGUAACCUGCCCUUGACUUUGGGAUAACUUCAGGAAACUGGGGCUAAUACCGGAUAGGAGCUCCUGCUGCAUGGUGGGGGUUGGAAAGUUUCGGCGGUUGGGGAUGGACUCGCGGCUUAUCAGCUUGUUGGUGGGGUAGUGGCUUACCAAGGCUUUGACGGGUAGCCGGCCUGAGAGGGUGACCGGCCACAUUGGGACUGAGAUACGGCCCAGACUCCUACGGGAGGCAGCAGUGGGGAAUAUUGCACAAUGGGCGGAAGCCUGAUGCAGCAACGCCGCGUGCGGGAUGACGGCCUUCGGGUUGUAAACCGCUUUCGCCUGUGACGAAGCGUGAGUGACGGUAAUGGGUAAAGAAGCACCGGCUAACUACGUGCCAGCAGCCGCGGUGAUACGUAGGGUGCGAGCGUUGUCCGGAUUUAUUGGGCGUAAAGGGCUCGUAGGUGGUUGAUCGCGUCGGAAGUGUAAUCUUGGGGCUUAACCCUGAGCGUGCUUUCGAUGCGGGUUGACUUGAGGAAGGUAGGGGAGAAUGGAAUUCCUGGUGGAGCGGUGGAAUGCGCAGAUAUCAGGAGGAACACCAGUGGCGAAGGCGGUUCUCUGGGCCUUUCCUGACGCUGAGGAGCGAAAGCGUGGGGAGCGAACAGGCUUAGAUACCCUGGUAGUCCACGCUGUAAACGGUGGGUACUAGGUGUGGGGUCCAUUCCACGGGUUCCGUGCCGUAGCUAACGCUUUAAGUACCCCGCCUGGGGAGUACGGCCGCAAGGCUAAAACUCAAAGGAAUUGACGGGGCCCCGCACAAGCGGCGGAGCAUGCGGAUUAAUUCGAUGCAACGCGUAGAACCUUACCUGGGUUUGACAUGGAUCGGGAGUGCUCAGAGAUGGGUGUGCCUCUUUUGGGGUCGGUUCACAGGUGGUGCAUGGCUGUCGUCAGCUCGUGUCGUGAGAUGUUGGGUUAAGUCCCGCAACGAGCGCAACCCUUGUUCACUGUUGCCAGCACGUUAUGGUGGGGACUCAGUGGAGACCGCCGGGGUCAACUCGGAGGAAGGUGGGGAUGACGUCAAGUCAUCAUGCCCCUUAUGCCCAGGGCUUCACGCAUGCUACAAUGGCUGGUACAGAGAGUGGCGAGCCUGUGAGGGUGAGCGAAUCUCGGAAAGCCGGUCUCAGUUCGGAUUGGGGUCUGCAACUCGACCUCAUGAAGUCGGAGUCGCUAGUAAUCGCAGAUCAGCAACGCUGCGGUGAAUACGUUCCCGGGGCU
Molecule: ribosomal RNA, 1346 nt
Filed under: uncultured bacterium
Lineage: Bacteria
Description: partial 16S ribosomal RNA
Rfam family: Bacterial small subunit ribosomal RNA
Source: RNAcentral